This 5097-nucleotide long non-coding RNA is filed under the name Podarcis lilfordi (Lilford's wall lizard). The record is from RNAcentral. Lineage: Eukaryota; Metazoa; Chordata; Lepidosauria; Squamata; Lacertidae.
CAGCUCUCACUGUCAGGAAGUUCUAAUCUAUCUAUCUAUCUAUCUAUCUAUCUAUCUAUCUUUCUAUCUAUCUAUCUAUCUAUCUAUCUAUCAUCUCUACUAUCUAUCAUCUAUAUCUAUCUAUCUAUCUAUCUAUAUCUAUCUAUCUAUCAUCUAUAUCUAUCUAUCUAUCUAUCUAUCUAUCUAUCUAUCUAUCUAUAUCUAUCUAUCUAUCAUCUAUCUAUCUAUCUAUCUAUCAUCUAUCUAUCAUCCAUCUAUCUAUCUAUCUAUCUAUCUAUCUAUCUAUCUAUCUAAUCUAUCUAUCUAUCUAUCUAUCUAUCUAUCUAUCUAUGAGCUAUUAAAAGCAUACAGAUCAUUAUAGUACAAACAGCCAUUUCAUAUACUUUUUCUUUAAAAGGGGGGGAAAGGCAUCUGGGAAUUUCCAGCGGGUGAAAACCAAAAACCCAUUGGCAUAAAGUUUUCACCUGCUGGAGAAAGGACAACAAGGAGGGAGCCAGUCUAACAUCUCUUGGGAGGGAGUUCUAGAGACUGAGAGCGGCCACCAAGAAGACCUGCUCCUGCAUCCCCAACAAGUGUGCCUUUUCAUAUGAAUUUGCUGCUAUUGGCACCACUGCCUCCUAAAAGUAGCACAGUCAGAGUGUGUAAGUAGGGUGUAUGUCCCCUGAAGAGAACCAUCCAUCUGAGAAGGGGUGCAAGAGUUCGCAUCAUUGCUCACAUUCCAGGAUCUAGAUACCAUCAGUCAUAAAUCUUAUCCCCAGGUGUACCCCAUGAUGGUGGAUAAAACUGAAAAACAUAAAGAGUCUGUUACCUUGAACUACGAUUCAGUGCUUAAAAUCACACCAGUCUGAAUGAUGAUGAUGAUCAUCAUCAUCAUCAUUUUGUUUGUAUACUGUCAUAUGCCCGUAGAUUUCAGGGCAGUUCACAACAUAAAAUUACAAUAUAAAAAACACAAUAUAUAUAUAAUAAAAAUAGGAACAAAAAACAAACCUAGCUUGGCAUAAGGUGUCCCAUCACUUUACUCAGUUCCAGACAAUACACAGUUUCACAGUCUCACUUCUUUAUUGGUACGGCAGGCAUAAAAAUGGUUUACAUUUCAUGGUUGCUUUGAGGAUGGUUGAACUAUAGUUUGUCUCCUAAAUGUAUACUAUAAAUGCUAGUAAUGUGCUUUCUUGAAAUAUUUCUAGUGCGCAAAAAAUAAUAAUGAAAUAGGAGUAUAUGCCAUCAUAUUCCAGUCCCCUAUCAUGAAAUUACACUGGUUUGGACAACUCUGCCCGUUACAUUCUGCCCUGGGUAAGAAGUAAUUAUAUAUAUCUUUAUUUGGCAUAGAUAUUGGACUGUCCAUCUGCUAAAGAAUUUUAUCCUAAAGUACACUUUUGUUUUACAAUUUUUGGUGUACAUUUUCAGCUGAGAACUGUAUUGUGAAAUUUAGGGAAGUGCAAAACCUGAAAGAUAAGGAAGUUGCUAUAUUCUGUUACAGUUUAUUUAUAAACCGCUUUUAUGUUCAGACCCAUGUUCGGGUCAAGAAGGUCCAAUAUCAGGUCAGUUUGCUUAAAAAUGCAAAACAGGUGUAAAUCACCCUGUGUCCUUGGUCCAUGCUAUAAGGAAAGGACCCCUGGAUGGCUAAGUCCAGUCAAAGGUGACUAUGGGGUUGCGGUGCUCAUCUUGCUUUCAGGCCGAGGGAGCUGGUGUUUGUCCACAGACAGCUUUCCGAGUCAUGUGACCAGCACGACUAAACUGCUUCUGGUGCAACGGAACACCAUGACAGAAACCAGAGUGCACAGAAAACACCGUUUACCUUCCCACCACAGUAGUACCUAUUUAUCUACUUGCACUGGUGUGAUUUCGAACUGCUAGGUUGGCAGGAGCUGGGACAGAGCAACGGGAGCUCACUCCGAUGCGGGGAUUCGAACCACUGACCUUCUGAUCGGCAAGCCCAAGAGGCUCAGUGGUUUAGAUCACAUAACGGAGGCCAUGCCACUGCUCCCAAAAAAUGGUCCGUCACGAAGGCUGAGUCAAUUUUAGGUAGUGAAGAAGCAUCCUCCUGGAAAACUCCUUCCCCAGUCCACUUGUACAGUUUUGCUUAAAGGUUGCAGUUAUGCAUAGCACAGGAUGUUCCCAGCACCAAGCGAAGUCUGACUUGAUCUUAACGGCCACUGAGGGACUGACAUCCUGUAGUUGUCGAACUGGGAGCGCAGUGUGCAGCCACUGCUUCUCGAUGAGGUCUCUUGAAAUGUAUCUCACGCUGGUUGGGAUCUUACGGCUUGUUAGAGAUGAUUAAUUCUUAAUGACCCCAAGAGCUGCCGGAAAGCGGGCAGUGACAAAGCGGUGGGAGACUCACGCCACAGAUGUGCUGACACGGCACAUUUGCUCGUGACACACAGGCUCUUCCGGCAUCCUUUCAAGGCAAUGGUGGUUUACCCAAAUCCUCACAAGUCACCCGUUCAAGAAAUAGCGGAUCUUCUCACUAGCGGUGUACAGGUUACCCAGAUAAAAUUGUCAUCAUCUCUAUAUUUGUAUACUAAACACUGCACAGCUCCACAUGCAUUAUCUCAUCAUAAUUCUUACAUUGGAACAUUGCUUAGCUGUCAAUCCACUUUUGCCCAUUUUGAAUUAGACUGGAGCAAAUUGGGCCUGUCCAGGGGUUUUUGCCUACCUCAUAGCAACUGUUACAACUUGUUUGCUCCCAUCAGUGCUACUUUUUCCUAGAAAAUGAGGUGCCAGAACUCACCACGAACACCUCCCUUGUUCUCUUAUAAUGGCAAUGGUGCCCACCUGAGAGGGGCCAGAACUGAAUUCUGGUGAGUUCUGGCUGAACUUUUUUCCCAGGGAAAGUGCGGGGACCAAAGAACAACAGCAACAGACAGUCAUGGACAUGGAAAUCCCAGACUUUUGCCUUGAAAGUGCAGAGCAAAGCUAAGUGUGGAUGAUCCCUUAGGGCAGAGCUUUCUGAAUUGUGUGUCAUGACACAUUAGCGUGUUGGUUGCAGUGUGUAGGUGUGUCAUGCGAAUGUUCCCCUCGCUCCUCCUGGGGCUGGAAAGGGGUUAGUUUAACCUCUGAUUUGCUAGUAAAACUGAAUUGCUUUGUCGUGAAAAGGUCCAUGUCUAAAAAGUGUGUCAUCGGCAUGAAAAGUGGGGAAAGCUCUGCCUCAGAACACCAAACAUGUCAUGGGUUUUGAAGAGGCUCAAACUCAGGACCAAAGGGAGAAAGGCACACUAAGAGGAAGGCACGCUUGGCAAACCCUCACCAUGAUCAACUCCUGCCUGGAAACCAAUGUCCCCACUGUAGAAGGACAUGUGGAUCCAGAAUUGGCCUCCACAGUCACUUACGGACUCACUGUUAAGACCAUGUUCAUGGAAGACAAUCUUACUCGGCUACGAGUGAUUGCCAAAGAAGAAGAGAGACUACUCUUUGCUAGUUAUACUACAUGACAUGUAUGACUAACACUGCAGUCAGAAAAGAAAACGGAUAGAACAGCUAUAUGUCAGUAAUAAGGUUGCUGGCAGAUAUCUUUCAGUACUUGAUGGUGGCAAAACCAUGGAAACAUGCAUGCAACAAAGCUUUUACAUUGUGGUAUAGUCAAUACAAUUAUGUGCAUUAGUGGCUGGCAUCUUCCUAAAGAAAUCAUUUCACAUUAGUUUCCAGGGAUGCCAACUUGAAUAAAAUAUUGUGGGGGCCCAGGUUGGCCCUGCCCCACAGAAUUGAUCACAUGACACACACACCAUUUGGAUGAGAAUGCCCAUUAACUUUGUGGGGGCCUGGCCCCAUCAAAUAUUUUAUUGUGGGGACCGAAGCCCCCACACCCCCUAAGAGUUGGCUCCUAUGCAAGUUUCCAUUUUUGACUGAAAGAUGUGAACAAGACCACAAUAUACAAAACUGCUUAAUCCCAUAUACAUCAAUUCCAUUGCUUCAGUGAUGCUUUGGAUUUUCUCUAUGCAACUUGCUGCAGGGCAACAUUGUCUUUUGGAAUUGCUACCAGUUUAUUCUUAUUCCACUGUUAAUCUUGUUUUGGUGGUGGUGGUGGGUUUGGAGUGGGGGGGGCUGCCAUAAUUUUCAUUUCAUUUUCAUUUCGUUUAUGAAAUGCUGCUUUUCACUUGCACAAAGCAGCGUCCAUACAAUAAAUAGCAACAUCACAAUUACAAAAUAAAUAAUAUAAAAUAAUUAAUGAAUUGCCCACAAAACAAUUACAGAUCAUCACUAAAACAACCACCUUCUAUAAAACACUAUUAACAAAACACUGUUAAAAGUAGGCUAAACAGCACAAGACGAGCCAUAUUAUAAAAUUCACAAAGCAUUGCAGCACUCAUAUUCCACAAAACAGUAUUAGCAGCAUUAACAAACUAGCAACCAAAAACAAACUCAGCCCUGUGAAAUUCGCAUUUGAAUUCUCUGCCCAUCCCCUACCUCCUCCUUCUCUCAUCGCCUACAGACAAGGAGCCAAGAGAGUACCCCCACUGGAGUAAGGCAGAAGAUGUAUUUUACUACCAACCAUCUAAUCUUUCUAAUAACUUUUCCUAUCAGGUAGACAGAAAAGAUCAGUUAAAAAAAAAAAUCAGCCCAGGCGAACAGUACAUCAUUAGCUCACUGUGAUAGCCUUUGUGUCUGACAAGAUGCUUGUAAUAAGUGAAUGCUUAUCAAUGAUCAACUGGAUGAAGGAAAGUGGUGAUGAGCCCAAUGAAUGGAGGGCAGCUUCUUUAGCAGUAGGAAAAGGGAUUUCAAUCCUUUCCCCCAUUGGGCCCAUUAUGUAGAUAAGUCACACAGAAUGCUCAUCAUUUCGUGGGCCUCGUUUCCUGGCUGGGGCUCAUAUUGCUGCUUUCUGCUCUGACAUAUUGCUGUCUUGUGAUAAAGCUGCCAACCGGAUCUUAUAUUAUCUCCCCGUUCUACACCGUCUUCUCAUCGGGAUUUAGAUUUCAGGACCGUUAUUUUUUCCUAACCAACAUGUGUGUGUGUGUGUGUGUGUGUGUGUUUCUAAAUUCAGUGCCUAUUUUCUCCUUGCAUCCAUGCAUUCUGCUCUUUUCUUGAGCUUUUUCGUGAUUUGGAAAUGGAUGUAUUUUGUGUUCUCUGCUGCUUUGUUCCAAAAUUUUUGCAGUUGCCCUUUUU